Long non-coding RNA from Triticum dicoccoides, 725 nucleotides. RefSeq lists it as uncharacterized. The transcript has 3 exons. Lineage: Eukaryota; Viridiplantae; Streptophyta; Magnoliopsida; Poales; Poaceae. The record is from RefSeq and is a predicted model, not a curated record.
UGCUUCUACACUAAGCUGUGCGUCAUCUUUAAUCUACCAUAUUUUCUCUUCCCAUUACCCUCUCCAUCGGUUCAGUUCAACUCAUCGAAAUCUGUUUUUCUUUUGCUACAGGUUAUGCUAUAUAGGUUUGGGCUGACUAUUUUAAAUGGUUGCCAAUCAGGUUAGGUAGGAAAAUGGAGGAUUGUCUAAGUGAAGAUACAUCCCCUCAGCUAUUAUGCUCUUUCGAGUACUAUAAACGCAGUUCAAAAUCAGUUGAACCAAAUCCAAACGAAUUGGCCAAAACGAAUGGGAAGGGAUAAUAUAUGCAUAGUUCUUGAAUCAUGGCACCUGAGCUAUUUACAGGAGGAGGGGACCCGACCUUCUUCAUGUCUAGCGGUAGUGUCUUCCUUUGAUUCGUUUGUGCAACAUGGAGGGGACAUGCCCUUCUUCACGUCUUGUGCAACAAUCUGGUGGGCGUCGUGCUCUUCAACCACUUAGAGGUGGACUUUGAUGUGAAGCCCGAUGACCACGCCACAUGGAUGAUCGUCCAUGUGAUCGCGACGCCGGAUGUCGCCGAGGUGGAGGACCUCGAUGCCAUCUUUCGGGGUGAGGGAGGAUUCGGGUCAUCCAGCGUCUGAACUCCAAGCCUUGAUAGAUACAUGUAGAGAAGUGGUCUGUUUAGACUGGUAGUGGAACACUAGGAAAGGUACCCACCUUUAGUUGUGUGUGUUUAAUUUAUUUUGCAC